This 722-nucleotide ribosomal RNA is filed under the name Leuconostoc lactis. RNAcentral's name for it is "bacterial SSU rRNA". It matches the Rfam family "Bacterial small subunit ribosomal RNA", at positions 54 to 758 of the family's 1533-position model. Lineage: Bacteria; Bacillati; Bacillota; Bacilli; Lactobacillales; Lactobacillaceae. The record is from RNAcentral.
CAUGCAAGUCGAACGCGCAGCGAAAGGUGCUUGCACCUUUCAAGCGAGUGGCGAACGGGUGAGUAACACGUGGAUAACCUGCCUCAAGGCUGGGGAUAACAUUUGGAAACAGAUGCUAAUACCGAAUAAAACUUAGUAUCGCAUGAUACAAAGUUGAAAGGCGCUACGGCGUCACCUAGAGAUGGGUCCGCGGUGCAUUAGUUAGUUGGUGGGGUAAAGGCCUACCAAGACAAUGAUGCAUAGCCGAGUUGAGAGACUGAUCGGCCACAUUGGGACUGAGACACGGCCCAAACUCCUACGGGAGGCUGCAGUAGGGAAUCUUCCACAAUGGGCGAAAGCCUGAUGGAGCAACGCCGCGUGUGUGAUGAAGGCUUUAGGGUCGUAAAGCACUGUUGUAUGGGAAGAAAUGCUAGAAUAGGGAAUGAUUCUAGUUCGACGGUACCAUACCAGAAAGGGACGGCUAAAUACGUGCCAGCAGCCGCGGUAAUACGUAUGUCCCGAGCGUUAUCCGGAUUUAUUGGGCGUAAAGCGAGCGCAGACGGUUGAUUAAGUCUGAUGUGAAAGCCCGGAGCUCAACUCCGGAAUGGCAUUGGAAACUGGUUAACUUGAGUGUUGUAGAGGUAAGUGGAACUCCAUGUGUAGCGGUGGAAUGCGUAGAUAUAUGGAAGAACACCAGUGGCGAAGGCGGCUUACUGGACAACAACUGACGUUGAGGCUCGAAA